Molecule: ribosomal RNA, 497 nt
Filed under: Chandacleidus recurvatus
Lineage: Eukaryota; Metazoa; Platyhelminthes; Monogenea; Dactylogyridea; Ancylodiscoididae
Description: partial 28S ribosomal RNA
Source: RNAcentral
UUGAAGCACUCCUCAGAUGUACAUGCUCUCGAGUCGGAUUGCUUGAGAAUCGAGUCGGAUGAUCGCUUAAAGACAAGUACCGUGAGGGAAAGUUGAAAAGACUCCAUCCAAUGCAGUCCAAAGUGGGUGGUAAACUCCAUACCGAAGUCCAGUGCUUUUGCAUAUAGGACAAUGUGGUGUAUGCAGUCCAAAGUGGGUGGUAAACUCCAUACCGAAGUCCAGUGCUUUUGCAUAUAGGACAAUGUGGUGUGAUUAGCCCAGCGGGUGAAAUGCAGUCCAAAGUGGGUGGUAAACUCCAUCCAAGGCUAAAUACUGGCACGUCGCCAACUUGAGUGAACGGAGAUUAGCCCAUCACCGAAGUCUAUUCACGAGUAGACAAGUACCGUGAGGAACUCCAUCCUCCAACUCCGAAUAUGGCUUGGAUUUGUUCAACUCGCUUAUGUUGAUUUCGAUCUGCUAGUGAUCAUGUUGGGGGGUGUUCCUCGGAACGGUAUUUA